Molecule: long non-coding RNA, 462 nt
Filed under: Prunus dulcis (almond)
Lineage: Eukaryota; Viridiplantae; Streptophyta; Magnoliopsida; Rosales; Rosaceae
Description: sRNA ncRNA
Source: RNAcentral
AUGAGAGGAGUUCCUUGGAUUGUGAUGUCUGAGGUAUAUAAAAUUUGCAACAUUUACUCAUCUAACUGUCCGUAAUCGAUCAUGUCACCGGUUUGAAUAAAUUUCCAUCUGCUGCAGAUAUUCGCUAUAAAUAUUGAAGGGCAGGCUAGAAGCUUUGCAACUUUAGUGAACUGGCUUGGUGCAUGGUUGUGUUCCUACACUUUCAACUUUCUUAUGAUCAGUUGGAGCUCCUAUGGUAAAUACCUUUUCCUUUUCUUAUUAUAAAAACUAGAGAGUAAUAUUUAGUAGAGUUAAAAGCAAAUCUGAUUAUACAUGGUAAUAACUCAUUACAUGUCUCUAUUUUCAGGUACCUUCAUUCUGUAUGCAGCCAUCAAUGCUCUGGCUAUAUUGUUCGUGAUCUUGAUGGUACCGGAAACAAAAGGGAAAACCCUGGAACAAAUCCAAGGAGACAUUAAUAAAUAG